Molecule: ribosomal RNA, 565 nt
Filed under: uncultured Glomeromycotina
Lineage: Eukaryota; Fungi; Glomeromycota
Description: SSU rRNA
Rfam family: Eukaryotic small subunit ribosomal RNA
Source: RNAcentral
UUGGAGGGCAAGUCUGGUGCCAGCAGCCGCGGUAGUUCCAGCUCCAAUAGCGUAUAUUAAAGUUGUUGCAGUUAAAAAGCUCGUAGUCGAAUUUCGGGAUCAAUUUGCUGGUCGUGCCUCUGGUACGUACUGGUAUUAUUGGUUUCUCCCUUCUGACGAACCAUGAUGUCAUUAAUUUGGUGUCGUGGAGAAUCAGGACUGUUACUUUGAAAAAAUUAGAGUGUUUAAAGCAGGCAUUAGCUUGAAUACAUUAGCAUGGAAUAAUGAAAUAGGACGUUUGAUCCUAUUUUGUUGGUUUCUAGGAUUGACGUAAUGAUUAAUAGGGAUAGUUGGGGUCAUUAGUAUUCAAUUGUCAGAGGUGAAAUUCUUGGAUUUAUUGAAGACUAACUACUGCGAAAGCAUUUGCCAAGGAUGUUUUCAUUAAUCAAGAACGAAAGUUAGGGGAUCGAAGACGAUCAGAUACCGUCGUAGUCUUAACCAUAAACUAUGCCGACUAGGGAUCGGAUGAUGUUAAUUUUCUAAUGACUCAUUCGGCGCCUUACGGGAAACCAAAGUGUUUGGGUUC